RNAcentral lists this ribosomal RNA (497 nucleotides) under uncultured bacterium. RNAcentral describes it as "partial 16S ribosomal RNA". It matches the Rfam family "Bacterial small subunit ribosomal RNA", at positions 28 to 507 of the family's 1533-position model. The record is from RNAcentral.
GAUGAACGCUGGCGGCGUGCCUAAUACAUGCAAGUCGAGCGAACAGACGAGGAGCUUGCUCCUCUGACGUUAGCGGCGGACGGGUGAGUAACACGUGGAUAACCUACCUAUAAGACUGGGAUAACUUCGGGAAACCGGAGCUAAUACCGGAUAAUAUAUUGAACCGCAUGGUUCAAUAGUGAAAGACGGUUUUGCUGUCACUUAUAGAUGGAUCCGCGCCGCAUUAGCUAGUUGGUAAGGUAACGGCUUACCAAGGCAACGAUGCGUAGCCGACCUGAGAGGGGGAUCGGCCACACUGGAACUGAGACACGGUCCAGACUCCUACGGGAGGCAGCAGUAGGGAAUCUUCCGCAAUGGGCGAAAGCCUGACGGAGCAACGCCGCGUGAGUGAUGAAGGUCUUCGGAUCGUAAAACUCUGUUAUUAGGGAAGAACAAAUGUGUAAGUAACUAUGCACGUCUUGACGGUACCUAAUCAGAAAGCCACGGCUAAAUACGUG